RNAcentral lists this ribosomal RNA (590 nucleotides) under Carabus macrocephalus cantabricus. Its description in RNAcentral is "partial large subunit ribosomal RNA". It matches the Rfam family "Bacterial large subunit ribosomal RNA", at positions 1921 to 2748 of the family's 2925-position model. Lineage: Eukaryota; Metazoa; Arthropoda; Insecta; Coleoptera; Carabidae. RNAcentral also lists the same sequence under 2 other names. The record is from RNAcentral.
UUUUAAAUGGCCGCAGUAUUUUGACUGUGCAAAGGUAGCAUAAUCAUUAGUUUUUUAAUUAAAAGCUUGUAUGAAAGGCUGGACGAGGUAAAAUCUGUCUCUAUUUAAAUUAAAAUAGAAUUUAACUUUUAAGUUAAAAGGCUUAAAUAUUAUUAAAAGACGAGAAGACCCUAUAGAUCUUUAUAAUUUAUUAAAUUAAAUUAAUUUAGAAAUAUUAAUGUUUUAUUUGAUUAAAUUAUUUUAUUGGGGUAAUAAAAAGAUUGAAUUAAUUCUUUUUUAUAAUAAACAUUAAUUUAUGAAUAUUGAUGAUCCAGUUUUACUGAUUAUAAGAUUAAGUUACCUUAGGGAUAACAGCGUAAUUUUUUUAGAGAGUUCAUAUCGAUAAAAAAGUUUGCGACCUCGAUGUUGGAUUAAAGAUUAUUUUAGGUGUAGAAGCUUAAUAAUUUUGGUCUGUUCGACCAUUAAAUCUUUACAUGAUCUGAGUUCAGACCGGCGUAAGCCAGGUCGGUUUCUAUCUUUAAUAAAACAAAAUAUUUUAGUACGAAAGGACCAAAUAUUUGAUAUAUUUAUAUUUAAUUUAUUGAAUAUUA